GCCUAUGUGCUCAGUGAUGAGAGCAUCAGCCUAACGCACUGAAGGGUCAUGGGUUUGAUUCCCAGUUAAGGGCA
RNAcentral lists this transfer RNA (74 nucleotides) under Myotis davidii. It matches the Rfam family "tRNA". From Rfam's summary of the family: Transfer RNA (tRNA) molecules are approximately 80 nucleotides in length. Their secondary structure includes four short double-helical elements and three loops (D, anti-codon, and T loops). The record is from Rfam by way of RNAcentral. Lineage: Eukaryota; Metazoa; Chordata; Mammalia; Chiroptera; Vespertilionidae.